Molecule: ribosomal RNA, 468 nt
Filed under: uncultured bacterium
Lineage: Bacteria
Description: partial 16S ribosomal RNA
Rfam family: Bacterial small subunit ribosomal RNA
Source: RNAcentral
GACGAACGCUGGCGGCGUGCUUAACACAUGCAAGUCGAGCGGAAAGGCCCUGCUUUUGUGGGGUGCUCGAGUGGCGAACGGGUGAGUAACACGUGAGUAACCUGCCCUUGACUUUGGGAUAUCUUCAGGAAACUGGGGCUAAUACCGGAUAGGAGCUCCUGCUGCAUGGUGGGGGUUGGAAAGUUUCGGCGGUUGGGGAUGGACUCGCGGCUUAUCAGCUUGUUGGUGGGGUAGUGGCUUACCAAGGCUUUGACGGGUAGCCGGCCUGAGAGGGUGACCGGCCACAUUGGGACUGAGAUACCGCCCAGACUCCUACGGGAGGCAGCAGUGGGGAAUAUUGCACAAUGGGCGGAAGCCUGAUGCAGCAACGCCGCGUGCGGGAUGACGGCCUUCGGGUUGUAAACCGCUUUCGCCUGUGACGAAGCGUGAGUGACGGUAAUGGGUAAAGAAGCACCGGCUAACUACGUG